RNAcentral lists this ribosomal RNA (571 nucleotides) under Naganishia albida. Its description in RNAcentral is "eukaryotic LSU rRNA". The stretch from base 138 to 291 matches the Rfam family "5.8S ribosomal RNA". The record is from RNAcentral. Lineage: Eukaryota; Fungi; Basidiomycota; Tremellomycetes; Filobasidiales; Filobasidiaceae.
AGCUUGCUCACAGGCACAUCAUAUCCAUAACACCUGUGCACUUGUCGGAUGGCUUAGUGAAGACCGCAAGGUUGGAUCUAUCCAUCUACUUUACAUAACAAUUCUGUAACAAAUGUAGUCUUAUUAUAACAUAAUAAAACUUUCAACAACGGAUCUCUUGGCUCUCGCAUCGAUGAAGAACGCAGCGAAAUGCGAUAAGUAAUGUGAAUUGCAGAAUUCAGUGAAUCAUCGAAUCUUUGAACGCACCUUGCGCUCCUUGGUAUUCCGAGGAGCAUGCCUGUUUGAGUGUCAUGAAAACCCUCAACCCUAGAUUGGUUAAAACCUUUCUUUGGUUUGGAUUUGGACGUUUGCCGAUGAUAAGUCGGCUCGUCUUAAAAGUAAUAGCUGGAUCUGUCUCGCGACAUGGUUUGACUUGGCGUAAUAAGUAUUUCGCUAAGGACAUCUUCGGAUGGCCGCGUUGCAGGACUAAAGACCGCUUUCUAAUCCAUUGAUCUUACGAUUAAUAUUCUUGACAUCUGGCCUCAAAUCAGGUAGGACUACCCGCUGAACUUAAGCAUAUCAAUAAGCGGAG